Molecule: ribosomal RNA, 562 nt
Filed under: uncultured archaeon
Lineage: Archaea
Description: bacterial SSU rRNA
Rfam family: Archaeal small subunit ribosomal RNA
Source: RNAcentral
UACUGCUAUCAGUGUUCGAUUAAGCCAUGCGAGUUAAAUGUUCUUCGUGAACAUGGCGUACUGCUCAGUAACACGUGGAUAACCUGCCCUAAGGUCCGGCAUAACCCCGGGAAACUGGGGAUAAUACCGGAUAAACCAUAGAUACUGGAAUGUUCUGUGGUUAAAAGUUCCGGCGCCUUAGGAUGGAUCUGCGGCCUAUCAGGUAGUAGUGGGUGUAAAGUACCUACUAGCCGACGACGGGUACGGGUUGUGAGAGCAAGAGCCCGGAGAUGGAUUCUGAGACAUGAAUCCAGGCCCUACGGGGCGCAGCAGGCGCGAAAUCUUUACAAUGCGGGAAACCGCGAUAAGGGGACACCGAGUGCCAGCAUACAAUGCUGGCUGUCCACAUGUGUAAAUAGCAUGUGAUAGCAAGGGCCGGGCAAGACCGGUGCCAGCCGCCGCGGUAACACCGGCGGCCCGAGUGGUAAUCACUAUUAUUGGGUCUAAAGGGUCCAUAGCCGGUUUGAUCAGUCUUCCGGGAAAUCUGACAGCUCAACUGUUAGGCUUCCGGGAGAUACUGUCA